Molecule: ribosomal RNA, 58 nt
Filed under: Ficus goldmanii
Lineage: Eukaryota; Viridiplantae; Streptophyta; Magnoliopsida; Rosales; Moraceae
Also listed under: 5 other names
Description: partial 28S ribosomal RNA
Source: RNAcentral
CAACGCGACCCCAGGUCAGGCGGGGCUACCCGCUGAGUUUAAGCAUAUCAAUAAGCGG